GACGAACGCUGGCGGCGUGCUUAACACAUGCAAGUCGAACGGAAAGGCCCUGCUUUUGUGGGGUGCUCGAGUGGCGAACGGGUGAGUAACACGUGAGUAACCUGCCCUUGACUUUGGGAUAACUUCAGGAAACUGGGGCUAAUACCGGAUAGGAGCUCCUGCUGCAUGGUGGGGGUUGGAAAGUUUCGGCGGUUGGGGAUGGACUCGCGGCUUAUCAGCUUGUUGGUGGGGUAGUGGCUUACCAAGGCUUUGACGGGUAGCCGGCCUGAGAGGGUGACCGGCCACAUGGGUUCUGCGAUACGGCCCAGACUCCUACGGGAGGCAGCAGUGUGAAAUAUUGCCCAAUGGGCGGAAGCCUGAUGCAGCAACGCCGCGUGCGGGAUGACGGCCUUCGGGUUGUAAACCGCUUUCGCCUGUGACGAAGCGUGAGUGACGGUAAUGGGUAAAGAAGCACCGGCUAACUACGUG
RNAcentral lists this ribosomal RNA (468 nucleotides) under uncultured bacterium. RNAcentral's name for it is "partial 16S ribosomal RNA". It matches the Rfam family "Bacterial small subunit ribosomal RNA", at positions 28 to 507 of the family's 1533-position model. The record is from RNAcentral.